This 744-nucleotide long non-coding RNA is filed under the name Junco hyemalis (dark-eyed junco). RNAcentral describes it as "lncRNA (ENSJHYG00000003691.1)". The record is from RNAcentral. Lineage: Eukaryota; Metazoa; Chordata; Aves; Passeriformes; Passerellidae.
GCACGGGAACAUUCCUCGUUUCUUGUUUCCUCCCCCUGCCUUGACCUUGGGCCCAUUUGCGAUCCCGUUGCGCAAACGGGUCUCGCAACCCAGCUCCUGUUUCCAGCAGAAAAUCCUCGCCUCUGGAGGGGCAGGCAGAGGCCAGCCCUGCCCUGGCACCAGCCUGGGCUCCAGCAAAUCCACAGAGAUUUUCAGCAGCCUCCUCCCAGCUCUCUGAAACCCAGUGGAACCUUCUCUGCAUUUAGGGAGGAGGGGAUGGCACAAUUCCUGCGUGCUGCUGGGCAGUGCUGCUCACGUGGAGCUGGAGCUGCUCCGCACCGAGAUGAUUUCCUGAGCCGGAGCCUCCCCUGGGAGCUGGAGUGGAUCCAGGAGAGGGUUAUUCCGGAUAAUUGCCCUGCUGGAGCUGCUCGUGUCCAGCUCUCUAGAAACACAUCCCGGCGUCUCCAUGGAAGGCUCCAGAAAGAGAAAGCCUGGAAGUGUUGGUUCACCUUGGAAUUUCUAUAAUUCUCUGAGUGCGAUGGCCAGAAAAGCCUGGCUUAUCCAUUUAUCCCACCAACAUCAUGGAAGUGCCUUUUGAUCCUGCUUUUUUUGUUGUUCCAGUGCCACAUUGAAGAACCAUGAGUUGAGUAUUUCUGGUGCUGCCUUUCACUGACCUGAGGAUGGAACAAAGAUUAGGAAUUACCAUUUUCAUCAAAAUUCGUGUUCAUUUUGAAAAUAAAUCAGAUUUUUCACGGUGUGUCUGCA